GAUGAACGCUGGCGGCGUGCCUAAUACAUGCAAGUCGAACGGGGAUGCAGCAAUGUAUCCUAGUGGCGACCGGGUGCGUAACACGUAGCUGACCUACCCCGGCGCGGGGGACAACAGUGCGAAAGCGCUGCUAAUACCGCAUAACCCAGCGGGCGUUAAAGAACCGCUGGGAAACUUCCGGGGCGCUGGGUGGGGGCUGCGGCCCAUCAGGUAGUUGGUAGGGUAGUGGCCUACCAAGCCGACGACGGGUAGGGGGCCUGAGAGGGUGGUCCCCCACACUGGGACUGACAGACGGCCCAGACUCCUACGGGAGGCAGCAGUAAGGGAUAUUGCGCAAUGGGCGAAAGCCUGACGCAGCAACGCCGCGUGGAGGAUGACGGCCUUCGGGUUGUAAACUCCUUUGGACGCAGACGAGCAAGGACGGUAUGCGUCAAACAAGUCACGGCUAACUACGUGC
RNAcentral lists this ribosomal RNA (457 nucleotides) under uncultured bacterium. RNAcentral describes it as "bacterial SSU rRNA". It matches the Rfam family "Bacterial small subunit ribosomal RNA", at positions 28 to 508 of the family's 1533-position model. The record is from RNAcentral.